Molecule: ribosomal RNA, 2923 nt
Filed under: Escherichia coli
Lineage: Bacteria; Pseudomonadati; Pseudomonadota; Gammaproteobacteria; Enterobacterales; Enterobacteriaceae
Description: bacterial LSU rRNA
Rfam family: Bacterial large subunit ribosomal RNA
Source: RNAcentral
GGGUUGUGAGGUUAAGCGACUAAGCGUACACGGUGGAUGCCCUGGCAGUCAGAGGCGAUGAAGGACGUGCUAAUCUGCGAUAAGCGUCGGUGAGGUGAUAUGAACCGUUAUAACCGGCGAUUUCCGAAUGGGGAAACCCAGUGUGUUUCGACACACUAUCAUUAACUGAAUCCAUAGGUUAAUGAGGCGAACCGGGGGAACUGAAACAUCUAAGUACCCCGAGGAAAAGAAAUCAACCGAGAUUCCCCCAGUAGCGGCGAGCGAACGGGGAGGAGCCCAGAGCCUGAAUCAGUGUGUGUGUUAGUGGAAGCGUCUGGAAAGGCGCGCGAUACAGGGUGACAGCCCCGUACACAAAAAUGCACAUAUUGUGAGCUCGAUGAGUAGGGCGGGACACGUGGUAUCCUGUCUGAAUAUGGGGGGACCAUCCUCCAAGGCUAAAUACUCCUGACUGACCGAUAGUGAACCAGUACCGUGAGGGAAAGGCGAAAAGAACCCCGGCGAGGGAGUGAAAAAGAACCUGAAACCGUGUACGUACAAGCAGUGGGAGCCUCUUAAUGGGGUGACUGCGUACCUUUUGUAUAAUGGGUCAGCGACUUAUAUUCUGUAGCAAGGUUAACCGAAUAGGGGAGCCGAAGGGAAACCGAGUCUUAACUGGGCGUUAAGUUGCAGGGUAUAGACCCGAAACCCGGUGAUCUAGCCAUGGGCAGGUUGAAGGUUGGGUAACACUAACUGGAGGACCGAACCGACUAAUGUUGAAAAAUUAGCGGAUGACUUGUGGCUGGGGGUGAAAGGCCAAUCAAACCGGGAGAUAGCUGGUUCUCCCCGAAAGCUAUUUAGGUAGCGCCUCGUGAAUUCAUCUCCGGGGGUAGAGCACUGUUUCGGCAAGGGGGUCAUCCCGACUUACCAACCCGAUGCAAACUGCGAAUACCGGAGAAUGUUAUCACGGGAGACACACGGCGGGUGCUAACGUCCGUCGUGAAGAGGGAAACAACCCAGACCGCCAGCUAAGGUCCCAAAGUCAUGGUUAAGUGGGAAACGAUGUGGGAAGGCCCAGACAGCCAGGAUGUUGGCUUAGAAGCAGCCAUCAUUUAAAGAAAGCGUAAUAGCUCACUGGUCGAGUCGGCCUGCGCGGAAGAUGUAACGGGGCUAAACCAUGCACCGAAGCUGCGGCAGCGACACUAUGUGUUGUUGGGUAGGGGAGCGUUCUGUAAGCCUGUGAAGGUGUACUGUGAGGUAUGCUGGAGGUAUCAGAAGUGCGAAUGCUGACAUAAGUAACGAUAAAGCGGGUGAAAAGCCCGCUCGCCGGAAGACCAAGGGUUCCUGUCCAACGUUAAUCGGGGCAGGGUGAGUCGACCCCUAAGGCGAGGCCGAAAGGCGUAGUCGAUGGGAAACAGGUUAAUAUUCCUGUACUUGGUGUUACUGCGAAGGGGGGACGGAGAAGGCUAUGUUGGCCGGGCGACGGUUGUCCCGGUUUAAGCGUGUAGGCUGGUUUUCCAGGCAAAUCCGGAAAAUCAAGGCUGAGGCGUGAUGACGAGGCACUACGGUGCUGAAGCGACAAAUGCCCUGCUUCCAGGAAAAGCCUCUAAGCAUCAGGUAACAUCAAAUCGUACCCCAAACCGACACAGGUGGUCAGGUAGAGAAUACCAAGGCGCUUGAGAGAACUCGGGUGAAGGAACUAGGCAAAAUGGUGCCGUAACUUCGGGAGAAGGCACGCUGAUAUGUAGGUGAAGCGACUUGCUCGUGGAGCUGAAAUCAGUCGAAGAUACCAGCUGGCUGCAACUGUUUAUUAAAAACACAGCACUGUGCAAACACGAAAGUGGACGUAUACGGUGUGACGCCUGCCCGGUGCCGGAAGGUUAAUUGAUGGGGUUAGCGGUAACGCGAAGCUCUUGAUCGAAGCCCGGUAAACGGCGGCCGUAACUAUAACGGUCCUAAGGUAGCGAAAUUCCUUGUCGGGUAAGUUCCGACCUGCACGAAUGGCGUAAUGAUGGCCAGGCUGUCUCCACCCGAGACUCAGUGAAAUUGAACUCGCUGUGAAGAUGCAGUGUACCCGCGGCAAGACGGAAAGACCCCGUGAACCUUUACUAUAGCUUGACACUGAACAUUGAGCCUUGAUGUGUAGGAUAGGUGGGAGGCUUUGAAGUGUGGACGCCAGUCUGCAUGGAGCCGACCUUGAAAUACCACCCUUUAAUGUUUGAUGUUCUAACGUGGGCCCCUUACCGGGGUUGCGGACAGUGUCUGGUGGGUAGUUUGACUGGGGCGGUCUCCUCCUAAAGAGUAACGGAGGAGCACGAAGGUUGGCUAAUCCUGGUCGGACAUCAGGAGGUUAGUGCAAUGGCAUAAGCCAGCUUGACUGCGAGCGUGACGGCGCGAGCAGGUGCGAAAGCAGGUCAUAGUGAUCCGGUGGUUCUGAAUGGAAGGGCCAUCGCUCAACGGAUAAAAGGUACUCCGGGGAUAACAGGCUGAUACCGCCCAAGAGUUCAUAUCGACGGCGGUGUUUGGCACCUCGAUGUCGGCUCAUCACAUCCUGGGGCUGAAGUAGGUCCCAAGGGUAUGGCUGUUCGCCAUUUAAAGUGGUACGCGAGCUGGGUUUAGAACGUCGUGAGACAGUUCGGUCCCUAUCUGCCGUGGGCGCUGGAGAACUGAGGGGGGCUGCUCCUAGUACGAGAGGACCGGAGUGGACGCAUCACUGGUGUUCGGGUUGUCAUGCCAAUGGCACUGCCCGGUAGCUAAAUGCGGAAGAGAUAAGUGCUGAAAGCAUCUAAGCACGAAACUUGCCCCGAGAUGAGUUCUCCCUGACUCCUUGAGAGUCCUGAAGGAACGUUGAAGACGACGACGUUGAUAGGCCGGGUGUGUAAGCGCAGCGAUGCGUUGAGCUAACCGGUACUAAUGAACCGUGAGGCUUAACCUUACAACGCCGAAG